CCACGUACACUACACCACAGGACAGGCGAUUAUGUGGUAGAUUUGGCUGUCCUGACGGUAGGUAUCAACAGCGGAUCUACUCCUCGGCAGGGCAGGUGGGAGGGAUUAGAGAAUCUGGGGGAGGGAAUGGAUCCCACAGUUGGCGCGUCACCUCCAAUGGCACUGCAUCCACCCGGUAAGCCUAUUCCAACAGUCACUCGCGUGACAGGCGGACCGCUGCUGUUGCAAGCUCUCCAACUAACGGGGGAAAUGCCAUCGCACCAAGCAUGGUGUCCUCCUGCUCUCCUGUGNNNNNNNNNNNNNNNNNNNNCGAUCGCCGGCGCCGGAGAUUUCACGAAAAAUAAGCCCCAAAAACAGAGUCUUUUCCCGACAAAAAAUCGGCGAUGUUCGUCGCCGGCCACCGCGCACAAACGCACAGGGGAAAGAGGAAGGAAGGGAGGAAAAAGAGAAAAACUUACUUCGGCCUCUUGGGAUCUCGUCGGAGAGAAAAUACGGCGAGAACCCAACUGUGCCCGCGGCUCUUCUUCGGGAAAAAUCGGAGAGAAAAAGAGGAUAAAAGAGUCGAUGGAUCGAUUCUAAAGAGAGGAGGUCUUCUUAUAGGAACUCCUAGGACUCCGAGGGGUCUUAGGAGUUCGAUUCUUGCUCGGAUUUAGCCGGAGAAGGAGACUCCUAUCGGGAGUCUUCUUUCCGGUUCUGAAUUCCUCUGUUUUCUAUUUUUUUUUUUAUUUUGAACUUUUGAUCUGCUGGACUGAAACGGAUUUUGGGCUAUAACACAAGGUCUUCUUUAGUUUGGUUGUGAACUACAGACGUUUUGUCUUCGAUCACGAUCUUCGUAGUACUAUAAUUGAAAGACUAAUUAACGUCUGAAACUGGAGAUGACCUUGACUCCGUUCCCUGUCGACCUUGCAAGGAGGGAAUCGACGUGAGUCACAGGAAACUGAACCAUUCAUCAGGUGCCAUGCCGGCGAAACAAUGGACACAGGGUUCGGCUUUUUUUUCCUUUUUUUUUUUUUAAAGAAUGGAACACAGGGUUCGACUUUCGGCUCACUGGUUUGCCCCGCCGGCGAACGAUGUUUGGAGUUUUUUUUUUUAAUUUUAUUUUUUGAUGGUAGAACGUUGCUGGCGCUUGCUAGGCGAUAGCAUGAGUUAAAAUCGCAGGUCACCAGGCCUCCUAAAUGCUGGAUGGAAUCCCGUCCGAAGACAAAACCGAUCAGCAUCGAUACCGUCACCUUUGGGCCCCAUCGCGGGCCCCACAAGUGUCUCUGGGCUCUGGACCCUAUGCUGGUACAACGGGACAGCUGUAUCCAAUCAGGUGCCACGCAGCCAUGCAAUGCUCACGUGUUCUAAGGUGGGUCCCACGUACACUACACCACAGGACAGGCGAUUAUGUGGUAGAUUUGGCUGUCCUGACGGUAGGUAUCAACAGCGGAUCUACUUCUCGGCAGGGCAGGUGGGAGGGAUUAGAGAAUCUGGGGGAGGGAAUGGAUCCCACAGUUGGCGCGUCACCUCCAAUGGCACUGCAUCCACCCGGUAAGCCUAUUCCAACAGUCACUCGCGUGACAGGCGGACCGCUGCUGUUGCAAGCUCUCCAACUAACGGGGGAAAUGCCAUCGCACCAAGCAUGGUGUCCUCCUG
This 1635-nucleotide long non-coding RNA is filed under the name Elaeis guineensis (African oil palm). Its description in RNAcentral is "long non-coding RNA (EGUI_LNC010727)". Lineage: Eukaryota; Viridiplantae; Streptophyta; Magnoliopsida; Arecales; Arecaceae. The record is from RNAcentral.